GUGAACGCUGGCGGUAGGCCUAACCCAUGCCAGUCGAACGGCAGCACAGUAAGAGCUUGCUCUUACGGGUGGCGAGUGGCGGACGGGUGAGGAAUACAUCGGAAUCUACUUUUUCGUGGGGGAUAACGUAGGGAAACUUACGCUAAUACCGCACACGACCUACGGGUGAAAGCAGGGGAUCUUCGGACCUUGCGCGAUUGAAUGAGCCGAUGUCGGAUUAGCUAGUUGGCGGGGUAAAGGCCCACCAAGGCGACGAUCCGUAGCUGGUCUGAGAGGAUGAUCAGCCACACUGGAACUGAGACACGGUCCAGACUCCUACGGGAGGCAGCAGUGGGGAAUAUUGGACAAUGGGCGCAAGCCUGAUCCAGCCAUACCGCGUGGGUGAAGAAGGCCUUCGGGUUGUAAAGCCCUUUUGUUGGGAAAGAAAAGCAGCAGGUUAAUACCCCGCUGUUCUGACGGUACCCAAAGAAUAAGCACCGGCUAACUUCGU
RNAcentral lists this ribosomal RNA (490 nucleotides) under uncultured bacterium. Its description in RNAcentral is "partial 16S ribosomal RNA". It matches the Rfam family "Bacterial small subunit ribosomal RNA", at positions 29 to 506 of the family's 1533-position model. The record is from RNAcentral.